AUUGAACGCUGGCGGCAUGCCAACACAUGCAAGUCGAACGAGUGGCGGACGGGUGAGUAAUGUAUCGGAACCUGCCCGAUGGCGGGGGAUAACUACUGGAAACGGUGCUAUACCGCAUACUAUUGGAGAGGCCGAUAUCGGAUUAGCUAGUUGGGGGGGUAACGGCCCACCACGGCAACGAUCCGUAGCUGGUCUGAGAGGACGACCAGCAACACUGGAACUGAGACACGGCCCAGACUCCUACGGGAGGCAGCAGUGGGGAAUCUUGGACAAUGGGCGAAAGCCUGAUCCAGCCAUCCCGCGUGUGUGAUGAAGGCUUCGGGUUGUAAAGCACUUUUGGCAGGGAAGCGGUACCUGCAGAGUAAGCACCGGCUAACUACGUGCCAGCCGCCGCGGUAAUAC
RNAcentral lists this ribosomal RNA (402 nucleotides) under uncultured bacterium. RNAcentral describes it as "partial 16S ribosomal RNA". It matches the Rfam family "Bacterial small subunit ribosomal RNA", at positions 30 to 526 of the family's 1533-position model. The record is from RNAcentral.